Molecule: RNase P RNA, 320 nt
Filed under: human gut metagenome
Description: Bacterial RNase P class A
Rfam family: Bacterial RNase P class A
About the family: Ribonuclease P (RNase P) is a ubiquitous endoribonuclease, found in archaea, bacteria and eukarya as well as chloroplasts and mitochondria. Its best characterised activity is the generation of mature 5'-ends of tRNAs by cleaving the 5'-leader elements of precursor-tRNAs.
Source: RNAcentral
UGCUAAACGGCCGCAUGCGUAACCAACCGCAUGAGGAAAGUCCGAGCACCACAGGGCAGGAUGCCGGGUAACGCCCGGUGGAGGCGACUCCAAGGCAAGUGCAACAGAGAUAUACCGCCCAUGCAAAUGGGUAAGGGUGGAAAGGUGAGGUAAGAGCUCACCGGCGGACUGGCGACUUUUCCGUCAUGUAAACCCCAUUCGGUGCAAGAUGUAGCGGGAGUGCUAUGGCGGCCCGCCGACUCCCCAGUAUCGCUUGAUCCAUUCGGUGACGAGUGGACUAGAUAGAUGGCCGUUCACGACAGAACUCGGCUUACCGGCAU